Molecule: long non-coding RNA, 445 nt
Organism: Canis lupus familiaris (dog)
Lineage: Eukaryota; Metazoa; Chordata; Mammalia; Carnivora; Canidae
Exons: 2
Source: RefSeq, a predicted model, not a curated record
UCACGCCCUGGGCCAAAGGCAGGCGCUAAACCGCUGCGCCACCCAGGGAUCCCUACUUGAGCCUAUUUAGUUGGGUAUCCCUGAAAGCGCUACUGCUGCGAAGAGAUCUGUACCCUAAGCAUGAUCCCGGGGAGAGGGACACCACCUCGCAGCCACAGGCCCACGCCCUCCCUCGGUGGGGGGGCUCUCUCCGCAUCAGGUGCUCGCAUUCUGGAAGGAGCGGCAGCGUGUGUGCUGAGUACUUUUUCCUGUGGUGGGCCACCGAAGGUUCGGGUGUGAAGAUAGACAAGCUGGCUACAGUUGUCUGAUAAAUGCUCCGCUUCUCCAGAUGGAAGAAAUUUGAGAAAAUUCAACAGAGUGUCAAAAUGUUUACGAGAAAUAUGAGAUGAGAGAGUUCUGGGAUACAGACCAGAUAGACAAAAUAAACGAAGUUAGUCCUUUGCCA